This is a long non-coding RNA of Melanotaenia boesemani (Boeseman's rainbowfish), 119 nucleotides long. RefSeq lists it as uncharacterized. The record is from RefSeq and is a predicted model, not a curated record. Lineage: Eukaryota; Metazoa; Chordata; Actinopteri; Atheriniformes; Melanotaeniidae. The transcript has 3 exons.
GUCUGAAACUGAGGUUUCACCAUACGAAGCAAAAUAUGAGCUGACAGUGAAUGUGAUGCAGCAACACGGUGUAAAAAUAGUUCCAGGGUGAUGUUCAGCACGGUGUAAAAAGUAGUUCC